GUACGCUGGCGGCACGCCUAACACAUGCAAGUCGAACGCAGUAGCAAUACUGAGUGGCAAACGGGUGAGUAUAAUGUGGGAAUCUGCCUUUUGGUUUGGAAUAACACGGGGAAACUUGUGCUAAUACCGAAUAAGCCCUUACGGGGAAAGUUUUAAUGCCGAAAGAUGAGCCCGCACUUGAUUAGCUAGUUGGUAAGGUAAAAGCUUACCAAGGCAAUGAUCAAUAGCUGUUCUUAGAGGAAGACCAGCCACAUUGGGACUGAGACACGGCCCAGACUCCUACGGGAGGCAGCAGUGGGGAAUCUUGCACAAUGGGGGAAACCCUGAUGCAGCGAUGCCGCGUGAGUGAAGAAGGCCCUUGGGUUGUAAAACUCUUUCGUCGGGGAAGAAAAUGACUGUACCCGAAUAAGAAGGUC
This 416-nucleotide ribosomal RNA is filed under the name uncultured bacterium. Its description in RNAcentral is "bacterial SSU rRNA". It matches the Rfam family "Bacterial small subunit ribosomal RNA", at positions 31 to 493 of the family's 1533-position model. The record is from RNAcentral.